UGGGCAAGCCCAUGGGCGUCCUGC
This 24-nucleotide non-coding RNA is filed under the name Arabidopsis thaliana (thale cress). Lineage: Eukaryota; Viridiplantae; Streptophyta; Magnoliopsida; Brassicales; Brassicaceae. The record is from RNAcentral.